UCUCUCUUCCUUCCACACCUCCUCAAUUGUUCCCAUAAACUGAGUGACAAACUCCCAGCAUUGACACACAACGCCAGGAAGGGUGGGAUGAAAACUUUCCUGUAGCCUGAGGCACGUUGACCAAGACCUUCAGCCAAGCUAACAAGGGGUACCAGAACAGAUAAUAAACGCCUCCCGGUAUAAUCAGGAAAGAGGACCUGGCAUUAUGGAUCUUACCAACAACAGAGGCUUAAACCUCAUGCUAAACUUUGUUCUGAUCAUCUUGGUGCUGCUGCUGCUGUUUAUUCUGGUAAAACUCAUGUGACAGUCGGUAAGGAUCCAUGGAUUCCUGUGAUUACAAUGACAUAUCAACCAGCAAUCUACCACCAAGAGUAUUACCCAUCCCGGAGUUAACCAUGAGCUGCAAGGACAUUCUCUAUGGGACAAGCCUUGUGUCAUGACAGCCAAGAUGACAUCAAAUACAUUUUUAUGAACCAAUGCAUUUAGACAUCUGUAUGUCUUAGAAGACUAGCUGAAGAUGAAUUCUGUCUGCAAGAGUCAGCCCAGCCUAAAGGCAUACCGUCAGGAUGGUCUCCAUACUGCGAUAUAUACUGUAUUGACCUUAGUUCCAUGAAGCAGCACUGUGGAUUGCUAUAUUGAGUACAGAAAUGUGAUGUAAAAGCACUUGAGUCAUAUGCAUGCUACUGCACCUUAACAUAUCAACCAAUUCCAUAUGCAAUUAUUAAAUCAUCAUGAUAUGAAAAUGUCCCAAAUGGAUGUUUGGGAUAAAUACCUGAACAAGGUGCCAUGUGUAGAAUCUUUUAAGCCUACCGUCUUGCUAAACUAAAAACCACCGAUUUACGUUUAGCGUCAUCCAUUCCCCAUAGACCAAAGCUAUUCCGUCACUAGCUAGUGAGCACUAGUGCUACUGCAUAUAAAAGAUGCACUCUCACGUGUUUGUAGAGUUUAUGUGUACUGUCACUUUUAGAAUAUCUCUAUGCCUUCUUUUUUAAUUUAAUGUUUGAGAAGCACACUUCAAAAAAUAUUAAAAUGUAAUAUGUAGAAAAUACA
Rana temporaria (common frog) is the source of this 1050-nucleotide RNA transcript. It is a transcript of the gene named phospholamban, with no coding region annotated. Lineage: Eukaryota; Metazoa; Chordata; Amphibia; Anura; Ranidae. The transcript has 2 exons. The record is from RefSeq and is a predicted model, not a curated record.